ACUCGAUGAUUGGUUUUCCUUUGUCUUUAUGUUAUCUGGAAAACGUUUUGGUAGUGAUCGUAGUAAGCAUAAGUUUCAUCACAAGUUUCAACCAAAACGUUUUGCCUUUCUUUUGAUUAAAAAAAAAAAAAAAUGUUUUGCCUUUCAAACCAUCACCUAACAACCACCACCAGGCCUUGCUGCGUUGAGACUGAUUUCCCUACAAUGUUCCAUCUCUUCUCUCCUUAUACAUCUCCACCAACGGCUUUGACUAUGUCCUUUCUCCACUGGUUUGUUUCUGAUAGAUUCUCACGUUUGUGUCUAAUAUUUCUUUGGAUAUGGCGCUUCAGUGUUUGGUAAAUGAUCUAAAGAAGUUUUCUUCUCUCUCCCUGCGAAAUAUUGUUAUGCGGGUCUAGGCCGAGCUUAGUGGAAGGAACCCAGGUUCAACCAGUGUCCGGCUCUUAAUUACUCUUAGCACCUUUUCAGUGGAGCCGCGUUGGUAUAUGUUUCUCUUUUUGGUUAUGAAUGAUUGGUUUUGAUUAAUGUUAAUGCUUUCUCUAGAAAAAUUAUAUCAUUGAUUGACUUGGACCUGAAGAUGAGUUCUUGCAAAUGGAUUCAUUCAGAAACCAGAAAUAGCAUGUGCUAUACAGUUCUCAUUACUGGUGCUUAGGAAUCAAUGAAUUUAAGUUAUGCACUAUUUUCUUUUUGCCACUAUUUGUUCUCUUUGCUGUGAUUCUUUGUCCACUUUCGAUUCUUGGAUUAAUUGCCUCUUGCUAAUGUUUUUUUUGGCUCGAAGCCAUGCCUUCUUCCUACAACUGAAGGGACCCCAUGUGCCAAUUAUGCCAAAUUUGUGAACCAGAUCUUACAAGGGCUGACUUACUUGCAGUUUUGUAAAAUGUCAUUCUACCAUGAAGUUAUGGCUGAGGGCUCUGCUGGUGAAGUCUGAUGGUGAUUCAAAAUUUCUGUUUCCUGCAAAUAUCACAAGAGCUGUGUUGCGAAUCUGGAAUACGGCAAGACUGUUAUUUUGCUACGAGAGGUAAGGUUGAGUUCUCCGGCGUCGGAUCCUGUUAGCUACAUGACUGUUAUAAGAGUCUUAUGCGAGGGGAAAUAGUUGGAGAAAGCAUUGGAAUUGUUGAAUGAUAUGUAAGGCAUCCAUAAUAAGCAUUUAUAAUCUUGCUUGCAACAAGCCAUAAAUUUUGCUGCAAAACUUUGGGGUCUUGAGUGCCUUUUUUGAGAUAAUCAGGGGAUAUCAUGCCUCCUAAUGGAGUGAUGGUUGCUAUGGAAAUUUGCACUGCCUAACGUAAAAAUAGAGGCCCCGACACUUGAGUCUGAAGGGGAAAACCAAACCCAUUUCAACAUCGCAGGCAUUAAGAAAAGUUCUGCUAACUCGGUGUCAAAAGCUGCAAAGAUAAAGGGCCGGUUGCUCAAGAGAUUAAAAAUGUCCUUAAGAGAUUUGAAUUUGGGAUCUAGUCCUCUGCUUAGGGGUCAAGACAGUGUUCCAACAGUGGAUUCAAUACAAUAGAGCACAUUGGUAGACUUCUACUCUUCAGUGAUUUCUUAAGUGUUCAGAGGUUCAAAGAGUUCUCUGCUUCAAACACUUUCUCCACUGAGGAUGAACCUUACAAAGGUCUUAGUAAUCUGUUUGGUUAGGUUAUCCCCGGCAGGAGAAUUAUGUUCUUACUUGGAUGAUCUGGCAAAUUCAUUGGAUAUUCAGGCUUGCAUAAGAGAAUGUGUUUGGACAGCCGGAAAUUGAUUUAUCUCAUCCCGACACAGUCUAGCUAGCAUCAAUGGGGUAUGACACCGUUAGAUUGCCAUUAAAAACAAAUCCACAAAAAAUUGAGUCAUCUCCUUACCAAUAACCACUUCGGUUUUCUGAUUCUUCUUUGUGAAAUUAAUAGAAUUUUAUCAUAUGUAUUCACACUCUUAAUGUUUUGUGUUUUUUUUGGACAACAAUGUUUUGUGUUUAAGUAAAAAUAAGAAUU
Long non-coding RNA from Brassica oleracea var. oleracea, 1961 nucleotides. RefSeq lists it as uncharacterized. The transcript has 10 exons. The record is from RefSeq and is a predicted model, not a curated record. Lineage: Eukaryota; Viridiplantae; Streptophyta; Magnoliopsida; Brassicales; Brassicaceae.